Talpa occidentalis (Iberian mole) is the source of this 104-nucleotide small nuclear RNA. The record is from RefSeq and is a predicted model, not a curated record. NCBI's taxonomy places the organism in Eukaryota, Metazoa, Chordata, Mammalia, Eulipotyphla, Talpidae.
GUACUCUCUUCGGCAGUGCAUAUACUAAAACUGGAGCAAUAGAGAGAUUAGCAUGGCCGCCAAUCAAGGAAGACAAGCAAAUUCAUGAAGUGUUCCUUAUUUCU